This 371-nucleotide transfer-messenger RNA is filed under the name Chitinophagaceae. RNAcentral's name for it is "JJ008 sp016192105 Standard tmRNA". It matches the Rfam family "transfer-messenger RNA". Rfam says of the family: Bacterial tmRNA, also known as 10Sa RNA or SsrA, is named for its dual tRNA and mRNA-like properties. Its role is to liberate the mRNA from a stalled ribosome. Lineage: Bacteria; Pseudomonadati; Bacteroidota; Chitinophagia; Chitinophagales. RNAcentral also lists the same sequence under 1 other name. The record is from RNAcentral.
GGGGGCGUUUGGUUUUGACAGCGUAGCUCUUUGGAAGUGUAAGCAUGUACUGCGUUGCGUAAUUAGCAGUUGAAUCUGAAUACGAAAACUAUAAAUGGCAAUACACAGUAUGCCAUGGCUGCCUAAUCAGUGAUUAAGUAGUCAUUAGGGCCGCCGGGCCGGUUGACCAGUUACCAAGCCCCGCCGCCGACUCAAAAACAAAACAGGUUGCUGCAACCCCAGGCUGUGCCGGUUGCUUAAGCCUAUCCAGCUACGGAAUGAAUCGGUUGUUUGUUUCCAGUUCAUUCCCGACAAUCCAAAACAAAAUAAACAUGUAGAAAGCUUUUGAAGAAUAUGUUUGGACACCGGUUCGAUCCCGGUCGCCUCCACGA